GGUGACUUCAGGAGGCUUUAGCUGAGACCGUCAUGCCCGGGGGAGGCAGCGUUAGCUCCAUCUCCUCCCGGUGGAACGGGCAGAAUGGCAGAGGUCCUUGCCAUAAUGGUAUUGAUGGAGAAGCCACUUAGGAUACCAUUGUUGUUAUUCUUCACCUCCAGCAAGGCAGCCAAAAUUGUGUCUUAAGUAGAACUUUGAUCUGGUUGCGUAGCGCCCUGAUUUGGAACCGACCGCUCUCGUUGGAGACUCCAGUACACGAGAUCGAGCCAGGAGACCAGGUCUACGUUCGUGAUUGGAGCGAGGAACCACUAAAGGAAUGGUGGAAUGGGCCAUACCUGGUGCUGUUAACUACCUUCACCGCUGUAAAAGUGGAAGGAAUUGACUCCUGGAUUCACUACACUAGAGUGAAGAAAGUUCCGAAACAUUGGGAAUCAGAGGCCUUAGGACCUACGAAGCUGAGACUGAAAUGCAGAUAAGAUGUCGUGUUAUAUAUAUAGCACUUUAAUUGUGAUCUGGUCAGUCUUACCUGUAAUGAUUGUUGGUUUCUUAGAAGUUUCAUUGAAAAGGGAGGUGGUGACGUAUGUUAUUGGACAAAAUGCCACUCUGUCUUGCAGGUUUAAAAAUACCAUUCCAAUGGGAAGGGAACUAAUAAGGGUCCUCUGGGAAAAGGUACCGGAAAACUUUGAAGUACCUGACAUAUUUUUUGACAACGAGGACAAAGGAUUAGUAGGGCGUGAGCAGGAGUUGCAGGGGAAUUGGCAAUUCAGAGGUAAAGUAAUGAACAGAUUCUGUUCACGAAAUCCUACUGAAGGAGAGACUAAAUUAAGGAUAGUCAAUCUGACUGAACAAAUGCGGGGAAAAUACCGUUGUCUGGUCAAGACAAAUAAUAGUGCAGACUAGGGUGAGAAGAUAAUACACAUUUUAGAUUCCACUCGAAAUUUUGGAAUUAAAGCAGGAUAUACCCAUUAUCCAACCCCCCCAGGCAGUGACGUUCUGAUUUAUUGCCGUCUAGAAAAUCCCCAGCCCAAAGAAUAUACAUGGAUGAAAGAUGGAAAGAAAAUCCUGGACAAUGAUAAACAUAAUACAGAACUACAUCUGGGAGGGAUAUUAACACAUUUGAUAAAACGGAUAGACAAGACAGAUUUAGGAACCUACAGGUGCCAGUACAGGAAUGAAACUGCAUUUGGAUAUAGUGAAAUUGAUGUUACUAAAACUAGAGUCAGACGAGCCAUAGAACCAACCAAAUUACCCCAGAUAAUUCAGGUACCCCAACGUGAUCCAGAGGAAAACCUAAUGAUAGGAUUAAUCAAGGAUUUCGCAAAAAUGCAAAAUACGAGUAGAAUAACGGCAUGCCUCCCAAUACCAAAAGCAGCUGGAGAACCAAUUGAGUGGGGAAUAAUAACAAUACCAUUUCCAGAAGGAAACAAGACAGUUAAGUGUCAGGAAAAGGGGAUAAUAAAGGACGUAACAAAAACGGAAUAUGUCAGGAAAGGGCUCAUGGGCCCUGUAUCAAAGUCAUGGUGUGAACAGCAAUUAAACUUUCAAUUCACACAGAAAGGACCGGGAAUAGGUGAAUGUAUAUAUGAUGAAGAAAUUAAAACAAAAACACAGGUAAAAGAAAUAACCUGGGAUUGUCAAGUAAAGAACAAUUCGGGACAAAGUUGGGAUACAAUUUGGUCACUGAGCAUUGCACAAAAAUUUCGGUAUGGUGGAAAUACAUCUUGGUGUCUCAGGUGGACAGGGAAAUAUAGUAUAGCAGGAGAUAUAAACAUAUUGUCGUACAUAGGAUGGGACAAAGUCUGGUUAGAUACUGUUAAAAAUGUUCCUUGAUGGAAUUGCACCAGGAUAAUAGAUUGCGAUACUGAUCCGGAAAAGAUUGCAAUGCCCCCAGUUAGAAUUGCUUUAAAAGCAGGAUGUGCAUGCCGAGGAUUUAACGAUACCAGCCCCGGCUGAUGGAACAGACUGCAGAUAUUCGAUGAUACAUAGCAUGGGACAUCUUGUUUGGGCACUCAGUGAUGGUACCUGGACCACCCACCUUCCAAUAGCAGGGCCAGUGCGGGAAAUUACCUUGGGACUCCCCACUUUGUGUCCAAUCUGGAAACGUUCCCCGUUCAGGGGCAAUCUAGAAACGUUGCAGAUUCUAACGAAGAGAAGUAUUGACGAUGAUAUAGACAAUAUAGAUGACACUUGGCAAGAGCCUGAGACAGGAGUGAAAGUAGGAUGGGCACUUGAAUCCCUUUUUGCUCAAAUAGCCGCAUAUCGUAAUAGGGAAAUGAUUUAUAAUUUAAUUGGACAAACUGAGAGAUUGGCCAAAGUGACUAAAAAAGGCUUUAGGGAUCUAAAUUUGCAAUUACAGGCAACAACCAAAAUGACUCUGCAAAACAGAAUGGCAUUAGACACAUUAUUGUUAAAAGAACAUGGUGUUUGUGGAUAUCUCAAAGAUAGAAUCGAUCACUGCUGUGUACAUAUACCAAAUGUAACUACAGAUAUAGAAUAUGACAUUGCUCAAUUAGGGAAAAUUGAAAAGGAAGCUGAAAAGGAAGAAGAAGAAAUAAGUCAUAAUUGGGUAGGAGCAUUAUUUGAUGGAUUGGGAAUCCACCUUACUGGAUGGAUUCAUUCCCUCAUAGAAACAGUGUUUACCCUAUUACUUGUGUCCCUCGCAAUUUACUUAGUAUAUUUCUGUAUUCGAAGAGAAAUAACCCGGAAUACCAGCUGGACACAUAAAAUCAUUGGAGCAGUGACUCGAGAAUAUCCACGACACCCAAUAACUCCUCCUACCUAUCAGGAAACUACUACAUGAGUGAAAAUACUUGCAAAAGAUGAAGUAUUUUCAAAGGGGGGAAAUGUUAGAAAUCAUACCGUUUGAUCAACUAGAAGUUUGAUUAGAUUUCAAUCAGCAAUAUAUAUAUAUAUAGAGAGAGAGAGAGUAUUUAGACUUGUGAUCAGUUGAUUUGUAUUAUGUUACUAGGUCAGAGAAGCCUGGUAACUAGGAUAUGGACAUAGAUGUACGAGACUAUCCAAGCGAUAUCCCUAUAAGGUGAUGGUCUGGUAGAAACAGUACUCUACAGAUUACUUUAAAGUAGAACUUUUAAGAUAAGAAGCAAAGUUGCAUACCAGUACCAGUCAAGGAGAGAUAAAAGAGUGCUGGUGCAAGCGCGAUCGUUGGGACUUAUCCAGAACUCUGAAAGGUGAAAAGGACAUAGCGAGGAAGACGUCUUACUUCAUCUGAGGAAGACUAUUUACUUCAUCCUGACG
This is a long non-coding RNA of Strigops habroptila (Kakapo), 3255 nucleotides long. RefSeq lists it as uncharacterized. The record is from RefSeq and is a predicted model, not a curated record. NCBI's taxonomy places the organism in Eukaryota, Metazoa, Chordata, Aves, Psittaciformes, Psittacidae. The transcript is spliced from 3 exons.